UUGGAGCUAGCUCCAGAGAGAGU
Molecule: microRNA, 23 nt
Filed under: Mus musculus (house mouse)
Lineage: Eukaryota; Metazoa; Chordata; Mammalia; Rodentia; Muridae
Description: mmu-miR-6938-5p
Source: miRBase by way of RNAcentral